Numida meleagris (helmeted guineafowl) is the source of this 3252-nucleotide long non-coding RNA. RefSeq lists it as uncharacterized. The record is from RefSeq and is a predicted model, not a curated record. Lineage: Eukaryota; Metazoa; Chordata; Aves; Galliformes; Numididae. The transcript is spliced from 4 exons.
GCUGUCUGCAGGGGUGGGAGAGCAGGAAGAGAGUUAGUUGCUAUUGUGCUUUGUCUCUGCUUGAGACAAAGCUUUCUUAACCAGACCGUCUCUCAAAGAGCAGCAAUUUGUUCAGGCUAAACUCUCUUCAGUGAGCCUUAUCCAGGGAGUCCGCAAACACAAAGCCUGAGAUGAUGCUUUUUAUGAACUGGCCAGUGCUGCUUUCCUCUGUUCUGUUGCUCAGCUGAUUUUUUCCCCCCCUCUUUCAGUCUGCAUGUUUCUUUUUUAAAAAAAGAAACAAGAAAAUACAAAAGGAAACCAUGUUGUCUGAUACUUCCUGGCUUGUUGCUUUGCAAUAUGUUGGUGCUACCUAACUUAAAGGUAAAAACUUGCAAAGCUGGUUGUGACAUUCUGCCACAUAGUCCAGGAAUCCUCAGUGCUAUCAGUACUAUGUUCUUUCAACCUCCUUGAUUACGCUUUGGAUUUAAUUUCUUCCUAAGUCUUUCAGGACACACAGGGUGAAACAAGAAGAAACCAUUUGACAUCACUUACAUCGGCAUGCAUACAAGAAGCUACACAAAAAAAGAGUCCUCUAGUUAACACUAUAUGCAGAAUUUGGUGGACCUUACAGAGAUACCUGGUUCUAAAAUCAGAUGAAAUGCAAGAACCCCAGAUACUUGACAACUGCCAGCUUUGGCAUCAAGACAGAAAACCUGACUCCAAGAAAGAAGCGUGUAACACUGAGACAUGAGCAGCAGGACAUGCAAUUUCCAUGUGUACUGCUACACAAGUCCCCUGAGGGUCAUCUCAGCUACAGAAGACGUAUCUGUCAUCUCCUCUAUGAAAAAAAGCUUCAGUGGACAACCUGGAUUAAUUCCAAGACUCUCAGGCCCCUGGGGGAAGGCCAGCGCUAUCAGCUUUAGAAACGCAGACACAAAAUUAGAAGAGAUGGAUUAAAAGACUCAGGUCAUCCAGAACAACUAGAGAGAAGCAAGAGAAAAAAGAUGGAAAAAAUAGAACAACAGGAAGAUAGAAGGGAAAAAAAUCAAAUGGAAAUGAAGUGGACAAAGACUCACCUCAGAUGAAAAAGAUCAUAGCUCUACCCAGGGAAGAUGAAGACCGUUUUUAUUGAAUGGCUGCGUCACGUCCAUGCCUUAAAAAGGCAUAAAUUGCUACAGACUGGUUCAAAAAACAGCAUGGAUUUGUGUGUUACGUCUGAAACUGCUGAGCUACAACGUGCUAUUCUCACUGUGUUUUCACUUGCAAUCAUGACAGUAGAAAGCAAGAGAGAAAACACCACUGCACAAGGGCUGAAUGCAGUUCCUGUUCUGCCACCAGCUUUGAUCAAAUCACGUCAUCACCUCUCCACCCUUUCCACAAAACAGGGACAAGAACUGUUCCAUUUUCUCUGCUCCUACUCAGCUUGCCUCCUCAGGACAGGGCCUAUCUUUUGAGCUAUACCCAGCUAAGAGAUCCCCAGUUUUAAGCCAGGCACCCUGAAGCUCUCUAAAACAAAUGACAGGAGCGCAACAUCACCUUCAUUUAAGAAGCUCCAUUCCCACCUCCACUGAAAUGCUGGAGGCAACCCACCAUAACUGUUGCCUUCCCAGGUCUCACUACAACGCUGACAGCAUCUUGAACCACGUUGCUGAUCAGCAGCUCAGAAGAAUGAUACAAGAUCCAGAUACCCUGAGCCAAGACAUCUUAAGUUUUAAUCUAAUUCAGCAUGCUUUCCUCCAAAUGCUGGAUAAGAGCCAAAGUUAUUAGUGCGUUGCAGAAAUGCCCAGGGGAUAAAUUUAAUGACUGCAAUAUUGCCUUUAAUAACAAUUUUAAUUAUUACAGCCAUUCCAAGUCCGCAGUCAUUUCUGUCCUACAAAUUCCAAUGAUAUUAAAUUACUGUGGAGUCCAGAAGACACUUGGGAACACGCUCUGUACAGAAUGAAGCUAUUCAUCUCUUCAGCUCACUGGGAACCACCCCCUGCUGAUAUUCUGCCUGUGCUCAGUUUUCACUGAAGUGUUUACACAGCCUCUCACAUCACUGAGAUCUGUGCCAGGGAAACAGCAUCAUCCAUGCUUUACAGAUAAAAGUUUAACACCUAAACAACUCACCUAGAGAAAUUCAAACAAGCUGCUUUUAAUCUGCAGUAGCAGUUUGAGACCCUGCAGAAGUUGUAGCCCCCUCUACCAGCCACAGCUAACACACAGAGUGAGACAGAGCCCUGCACGCUGCAGAAAAUACUGAAAGAAAUGAGCAGAAUGCACAGAGAUGGUUACCCUGCGAGGCAGCAGGCCACUCAUACUGUGUUAACUGGACCAUCCCACAUCUUUAGAGAGACAGUGGGUACAAACCCACGCUUCCUCCAGGAUGUAUAAAAAAAGGCACAGAGAUCCUGUAGAAACUCCAGGUAAAACUGACAUCAGAGCAAGAAAUUGUAGAUUCUCUAAUCCUCCCUCACAAAGCUUUCCUGAAGCACUUCCAGCACAGGAUAAAGGAUGUUCUGACAGAUGGCGGGCGGAUGCUGACUGCUCCUGCAUGAAUCAGGCUAAGACAAGGACACUGUCUGAGGGAUCAGGAUCACACAAACCUAUUUCAAGAACUGUCUUUACCAAAAAUUUCCAUGGGCAAUCCUAUGUUGCCAUGUGAAGGCACAGUCUGCACAAAAACAGCUGCAAGCCUAAGGCCUCAGCUUAUCUGGUAAAUCAUGCUCUUUUUAAAGCUAAAAUUCUACUCAUUCAUUAACGGAAUAAAUCCGUAAAUAAAUUCAUAUAAAUAAAAUCAUAAACAUUUUUAAAAAACAUUAGGAAACAAACAGAUCAAACAACAGUCAGAUUCAACUCAAUGUGACACACUGACGUUUCUCAUAUGUGACACUGCAUAAAUAACACCUUGAAGAGGCUGCUCCAGUAAACAACCACGCAUCCCCUCGCCUGUCCAGUAAUGAAAUACCCAACAGCUGUCACUCAGCUCCAGCAUUAGCUCUGGCUUUCAUUACAAGCAGACACAGACAGGAGGAAGGCUGGGCUAUUAAAGCUGCCUUCAGUGCACACACACAGCUAGGCGAUAGCGCACGCUUGUUCUUUUAAUGUGUCUGAGUUAGCAGUCCAAGUGGUGAACUACACAGGACAAAACCCGGCGAGUUUUGCUUUGCUAUCCUGCUUACAGAGCCUGACUUAUCUUCCAAUUACUAAGCGUAUGAUAUUCAGCAAGUGGAUAAAAGAUUAUUAAAAAAAAGCAAAAUUGAGCUGUUCAGUCUUUAAAAUUAAGGAAGAGAG